GUGGACGUAGUGUACGGCGCACCGCUGGAUUCCAUAGCCGGUUCUCAUCGAUGGAAUCAGUUAGCCGGGGUUCGAUUCCCCGCGUCCGCA
Molecule: non-coding RNA, 90 nt
Organism: Mycena latifolia
Lineage: Eukaryota; Fungi; Basidiomycota; Agaricomycetes; Agaricales; Mycenaceae
Source: the annotation of a GenBank genome assembly